UCACCAGACUCCUACGGGAGGCAGCAGUGAGGAAUAUUGGUCAAUGGGCGCUAGCCUGAACCAGCCAAGUAGCGUGAAGGAUGACUGCCCUAUGGGUUGUAAACUUCUUUUAUAUGGGAAUAAAGUGCAGUAUGUAUACUGCUUUGCAUGUACCUUAUGAAUAAGGAUCGGCUAACUCCGUGCCAGCAGCCGCGGUACUACGGAGGAUCCGAGCGUUAUCCGGAUUUAUUGGGUUUAAAGGGAGCGUAGGCGGGUUGUUAAGUCAGUUGUGAAAGUUUGCGGCUCAACCGUAAAAUUGCAGUUGAUACUGGCAUCCUUGAGUACAGUAGAGGUAGGCGGAAUUCGUGGUGUAGCGGUGAAAUGCUUAGAUAUCACGAAGAACUCCGAUUGCGAAGGCAGCUUACCAGACUGCGACUGACGCUGAAGCACGAGAGCGUGGGUAGCGAACAGGAUUAGAUACCCCCGUAUU
RNAcentral lists this ribosomal RNA (469 nucleotides) under uncultured bacterium. RNAcentral describes it as "bacterial SSU rRNA". It matches the Rfam family "Bacterial small subunit ribosomal RNA", at positions 328 to 794 of the family's 1533-position model. The record is from RNAcentral.